AUGUCCUCUGCCUCGCUCAACCUCCUGUCUUCUCCAAUCAAGAAGUUUCGAGCUGGAUACCCUUUUUGAACUCUCGGGUUCACAAAGUUGUAAUGGACUAGAACAACAUCCGAAGGUCUUUGAGUACGACUGCAUUCGUCACGUCUCAGGAUUGCUUUUUGGUCGUAAUUUACCAUUCGGGACAUCA
This 187-nucleotide small nucleolar RNA is filed under the name Aureobasidium pullulans EXF-150. Lineage: Eukaryota; Fungi; Ascomycota; Dothideomycetes; Dothideales; Saccotheciaceae. The record is from RNAcentral.